This 447-nucleotide ribosomal RNA is filed under the name uncultured bacterium. RNAcentral describes it as "partial 16S ribosomal RNA". It matches the Rfam family "Bacterial small subunit ribosomal RNA", at positions 29 to 523 of the family's 1533-position model. The record is from RNAcentral.
AACGAACGCUAGCGGCAGGCUUAACACAUGCAAGUCGAGCGCCCCGCAAGGGGAGCGGCAGACGGGUGAGUAACGCGUGGGAACAUACCCUUUCCUGCGGAAUAGCUCCGGGAAACUGGAAUUAAUACCGCAUACGCCCUACGGGGGCAAGAUUUAUCGGGGAAGGAUUGGCCCGCGUUGGAUUAGCUAGUUGGUGGGGUAAAGGCCUACCAAGGCGACGAUCCAUAGCUGGUCUGAGAGGAUGAUCAGCCACAUUGGGACUGAGACACGGCCCAAACUCUUACGGGAGGCAGCAGUGGGGAAUAUUGGACAAUGGGCGCAAGCCUGAUCCAGCCAUGCCGCGUGAGUGAUGAAGGCCUUAGGGUUGUAAAGCUCUUUCACCGGAGAAGAUAAUGACGGUAUCCGGAGAAGAAGCCCCGGCUAACUUCGUGCCAGCCGCCGCCGUAA